RNAcentral lists this ribosomal RNA (480 nucleotides) under uncultured bacterium. RNAcentral describes it as "bacterial SSU rRNA". It matches the Rfam family "Bacterial small subunit ribosomal RNA", at positions 29 to 526 of the family's 1533-position model. The record is from RNAcentral.
AACGAACGCUGGCGGCAUGCCUAACACAUGCAAGUCGAACGAAGCCUUCGGGCUUAGUGGCGCACGGGUGCGUAACGCGUGGGAACCUACCAUCAGGUUCGGAAUAACAGUUAGAAAUGACUGCUAAUACCGGAUAAUGUCUUCGGACCAAAGAUUUAUCGCCUUUUGAUGGGCCCGCGUAAGAUUAGGUAGUUGGUGGGGUAAUGGCCUACCAAGGCAACGAUCUCUAGCUGGUCUGAGAGGACGAUCAGCCACACUGGGACUGAGACACGGCCCAGACUCCUACGGGAGGCAGCAGUGGGGAAUAUUGGACAAUGGGCGAAAGCCUGAUCCAGCAAUGCCGCGUGUGUGAAGAAGGCCUGAGGGUUGUAAAGCACUUUCAAUCGUGAAGAAAAGUUGCAGGCUAAUACCCUGUGACCUUGACGUUAACGAUACAAGAAGCACCGGCUAACUCCGUGCCAGCAGCCGCGGUAAUGUCAC